RNAcentral lists this ribosomal RNA (330 nucleotides) under uncultured bacterium. RNAcentral describes it as "bacterial SSU rRNA". It matches the Rfam family "Bacterial small subunit ribosomal RNA", at positions 568 to 898 of the family's 1533-position model. The record is from RNAcentral.
UGUGUAGGCGGCUUUUUAAGUUUGGUGUGAAAUCUCCCGGCUCAACUGGGAGGGUGCGCCGAAUACUGAAGGGCUAGAGUGCGGGAGAGGAGAGUGGAAUUCCUGGUGUAGCGGUGAAAUGCGUAGAUAUCAGGAGGAACACCGGUGGUGUAGACGGCUCUCUGGACCGUAACUGACGCUGAGACACGAAAGCGUGGGUAGCAAACAGGAUUAGAUACCCUGGUAGUCCACGCCCUAAACGAUGCAUAUUUGGUGUGGGUCAUUCAGUUGAUCUGUGCCGGAGCUAACGCGUUAAAUAUGCCGCCUGGGGAGUACAGUCGCAAGGCUGAA